CCCUUAGAUGUCCUGGGCCGCACGCGCGUUACACUGAUGCAUUCAACGAGCUUAUAACCUUGGCCGAGAGGCCUGGGCAAUCUUGUUAACGUGCAUCGUGAUAGGGAUAGAUUAUUGAAAUUAUUAAUCUUGAACGAGGAAUUCCUAGUAAACGCAGAUCAUCAAUCUGCAUUGAUUACGUCCCUGCCCUUUGUACACACCGCCCGUCGCUACUACCGAUUGAAUGGUUUAGUGAGAUCUCUGGAUUGACGCUGGCUAGGGGGCGACCCUUGGCCAGGCUGUCGAGAAACUGCUCAAACUUGAUCAUUUAGAGGAAGUAAAAGUCGUAACA
RNAcentral lists this ribosomal RNA (331 nucleotides) under uncultured eukaryote. RNAcentral's name for it is "partial 18S ribosomal RNA". It matches the Rfam family "Eukaryotic small subunit ribosomal RNA", at positions 1470 to 1796 of the family's 1831-position model. The record is from RNAcentral.